RNAcentral lists this transfer RNA (77 nucleotides) under Flavobacteriales bacterium. RNAcentral's name for it is "tRNA-Met". It matches the Rfam family "tRNA". From Rfam's summary of the family: Transfer RNA (tRNA) molecules are approximately 80 nucleotides in length. RNAcentral also lists the same sequence under 1 other name. The record is from RNAcentral. Lineage: Bacteria; Pseudomonadati; Bacteroidota; Flavobacteriia; Flavobacteriales.
GGCGAGGUAGCUCAGUUGGUUAGAGCGCAGGAUUCAUAACCCUGAGGUCGGGAGUUCAAAUCUCCCUCUCGCCACCA